Molecule: ribosomal RNA, 468 nt
Filed under: uncultured bacterium
Lineage: Bacteria
Description: partial 16S ribosomal RNA
Rfam family: Bacterial small subunit ribosomal RNA
Source: RNAcentral
UUUCCAGACUCCUACGGGAGGCAGCAGUGAGGAAUAUUGGUCAAUGGGCGGAAGCCUGAACCAGCCAAGUCGCGUGAGGGAAGAAGGCCCUGCGGGUCGCAGACCUCUUUGGACGGGGAGCAAGGCCGCCGACGUGUCGGCGGAAGGAGAGUACCCGUAGAACAAGCAUCGGCUAACUCCGUGCCAGCAGCCGCGGUAAUACGUAGGGGGCAAGCGUUAUCCGGAUUUACUGGGUGUAAAGGGAGCGUAGACGGCUGUGCAAGUCAGAAGUGAAAGCCCGGGGCUCAACCGCGGGACUGCUUUUGAAACUGUGUAGCUGGAGUGCAGGAGAGGUAAGUGGAAUUCCUAGUGUAGCGGUGAAAUGCUUAGAUAUCACGAAGAACUCCGAUUGCGAAGGCAGCCUGCUGGACUGUAACUGACGCUGAUGCUCGAAAGUGUGGGUAUCAAACAGGAUUAGAUACCCCUGUA